GGCCGGGAGAGGUGAGAGGUACUUCAGGGGUAGGGGUGAAAUCUUGUAAUCCUUGAAGGACCACCAGUGGCGAAGGCGUCUCACCAGAACGGACCUGACGGCAAGGGACGAAGGCUAGGGGCACGAACCGGAUUAGAUACCCGGGUAGUCCUAGCCGUAAACGAUGCUCGCUAGGUGUCAGUCACGGUGCGACCGUGAUUGGUGCCGUAGGGAAGCCGUGAAGCGAGCCACCUGGGAAGUAUGGCCGCAAGGCUGAAACUUAAAGGAAUUGGCGGGGGAGCACUACAACGGGUGGAGCCUGCGGUUUAAUUGGAUUCAACGCCGGAAAUCUCACCGGGGGCGACAGCGAUAUGAAGGUCAGGCUGAAGACUUUACCGGAUUAGCUGAGAGGUGGUGCAUGGCCGUCGUCAGUUCGUACUGUGAAGCAUCCUGUUAAGUCAGGUAACGAGCGAGACC
RNAcentral lists this ribosomal RNA (456 nucleotides) under unidentified archaeon. RNAcentral describes it as "bacterial SSU rRNA". It matches the Rfam family "Archaeal small subunit ribosomal RNA", at positions 597 to 1052 of the family's 1478-position model. The record is from RNAcentral.